GACGAACGCUGGCGGCGUGCCUAAUACAUGCAAGUAGAACGCUGAAGGAGGAGCUUGCUUCUCUGGAUGAGUUGCGAACGGGUGAGUAACGCGUAGGUAACCUGCCUGGUAGCGGGGGAUAACUAUUGGAAACGAUAGCUAAUACCGCAUAAUAGUAGAUGUUGCAUGACAUUUACUUAAAAGGUGCAAUUGCAUCACUACCAGAUGGACCUGCGUUGUAUUAGCUAGUUGGUGGGGUAACGGCUCACCAAGGCGACGAUACAUAGCCGACCUGAGAGGGUGAUCGGCCACACUGGGACUGAGACACGGCCCAGACUCCUACGGGAGGCAGCAGUAGGGAAUCUUCGGCAAUGGACGAAAGUCUGACCGAGAAACGCCGCGUGAGUGAAGAAGGUUGUCGGAUCGUAAAGCUCUGUUGUAAGAGAAGAACGAGUGUGAGAGUGGAAAGUUCACACUGUGACGGUAUCUUACCAGAAAGGGACGGCUAACUACGUG
This 495-nucleotide ribosomal RNA is filed under the name uncultured bacterium. Its description in RNAcentral is "partial 16S ribosomal RNA". It matches the Rfam family "Bacterial small subunit ribosomal RNA", at positions 28 to 507 of the family's 1533-position model. The record is from RNAcentral.